CGUAGGGCGCAAGCGUUGUCCGGAAUUAUUGGGCGUAAAGAGCUCGUAGGCGGCUUGUCACGUCGGAUGUGAAAGCCCGGGGCUUAACCCCGGGUCUGCAUUCGAUACGGGCUAGCUAGAGUGUGGUAGGGGAGAUCGGAAUUCCUGGUGUAGCGGUGAAAUGCGCAGAUAUCAGGAGGAACACGGGUGGCGAAGGCGGAUCUCUGGGCCAUUACUGACGCUGAGGAGCGAAAGCGUGGGGAGCGAACAGGAUUAGAUACCCUGGUAGUCCACGCCGUAAACGUUGGGAACUAGGUGUUGGCGACAUUCCACGUCGUCGGUGCCGCAGCUAACGCAUUAAGUUCCCCGCCUGGGGAGUACGGCCGCAAGGCUA
Molecule: ribosomal RNA, 373 nt
Filed under: uncultured organism
Description: bacterial SSU rRNA
Rfam family: Bacterial small subunit ribosomal RNA
Source: RNAcentral